This 201-nucleotide small RNA is filed under the name Theobroma cacao (cacao). RNAcentral's name for it is "sRNA Tc04v2_g009560". The record is from RNAcentral. Lineage: Eukaryota; Viridiplantae; Streptophyta; Magnoliopsida; Malvales; Malvaceae.
UGGGUACAUGAAGGACUCAAAGUGGAAAAGGAAAAUAGAAGUGCAAAGAUAAAGUUAGAGAACUGUGGUGGCAUGUCGGAGUAAAUAAGGAGCGACCGACCACUGAAAAUAGUUAGAGACACCUCCGAACAAAUAGCGACUUAAAAUCUCAUUGUUGCUAGGUUUCCUGAGUUAAAGGUGAUUGGAUCCUAGGACGAGGUG